This 372-nucleotide ribosomal RNA is filed under the name uncultured bacterium. RNAcentral describes it as "bacterial SSU rRNA". It matches the Rfam family "Bacterial small subunit ribosomal RNA", at positions 29 to 413 of the family's 1533-position model. The record is from RNAcentral.
AAUCAACGCUGGCGGCGUGCCUAACACAUGCAAGUCGAACGAGAAAGUGGAGCAAUCCAUGAGUAAAGUGGCGACCGGGUGAGUAACACGUGACUAACCUACCUCCGAGUGGGGAAUAACUCCGGGAAACCGGGGCUAAUACCGCAUAACAUCGCGAGAUCAAAGCAGCAAUGCGCUUGGAGAGGGGGUCGCGGCUGAUUAGCUAGUUGGCGGGGUAAUGGCCCACCAAGGCGAAGAUCGGUAUCCGGCCUGAGAGGGCGCACGGACACACUGGAACUGAAACACGGUCCAGACUCCUACGGGAGGCAGCAGUGGGGAAUUUUGCGGCAAUGGGGGAAACCCUGACGCAGCAACGCCGCGUGGAGGAUGAAG